This 2479-nucleotide long non-coding RNA is filed under the name Capra hircus (goat). Its description in RNAcentral is "lncRNA (ENSCHIG00000005546.1)". Lineage: Eukaryota; Metazoa; Chordata; Mammalia; Artiodactyla; Bovidae. The record is from RNAcentral.
UGGCAACACCCGUCCGGAGCCACGGAACUUGAGAUCAUUGUCCUCCGGUGACCAUUAUUGUUGUUAUUAUUAUUAUUAAUGGAUGCAACAAAUCCCUGACUCAGAAGAAACACAGCAACUUCCACCCGCUCGGGAAAGGUCAUGCCCAGAGGCAGGAGCUGGAAAAGUCUAGCACUUUCCAGAAGGAAAAGAGAGAGAGUGGAGAGACAGGAGGGGAAAAAAAAAGGAGGAGGAAACAAAAUGAAGCAGAGGAAGGGAGGCAAGCAGUCCUGCAACGGACUUUAUGUGAAAACAAAAAAAGCUUCAGCACAUAACACGCGUGCCUCCUUGCAGAAAUACCGUCCGGGUGCUGCUCGUCAGGGGUGGCCCUCCCAGGUCCCAGGAAGACAACUCGUGUUUCUAGAGCCCCAAAUGGACUCAGAGCCUGGAGAGCAACCCGACAGGAUGUAGGAUGGAGUCAGCCAAGGCAGCGGAAGCCCCACAAGCAAAGCACAGAUGGAGAAAUGCCACGAGGAAGGAGAGAGAGGGAAACAGCAUCUGUCGGAAAGUCACGACCCAUAGAACGGACUGAUGACUCAAGAGGCCUCUGCCCGUAAGAUUCUGAUGGAGAGCAGGCAUAAAAUUCAUGAGAGUGAGACCGCCAUCAGCUCCUGUGAGCAACAGCUCUUCGAGGAAGUUUGGCUCCGAGGGGAGCAGAAAGCAGUCGGGCCACGGUUCCGAGCAGCUCCCAUCAGCCCUGGGCCAGGGCAGAGCGUGCGGACCAGACCUGUGGGUCAGACUCCUCCAUCCCCAGGAGGAGGACCCCCCCGGCACCGGAGGAGAGCUGCUGUGAGGAGCCCACGGCCCCCUGCACAGGCUCCCUCACCCCAGUAUAACUGGGCACAAAGUGGGUUUAUAGCUUCUUUAAAGAAGAGGAGCCAGAACAACAAGAGAGAAGCCAGGGGCAGUGAGGACGCUGCAAACCUCCAGCGAAGCCAUUUGAGACAGACAAGAUUUUAUCUGCGGAGCAUCUGUGGUUUGCAUAAAGGAGAUGAAAUUCCGACUCAGGAACACACAGAUCCAAGUUCUGCCUCCAACCUAUGGGGGCUUGAGCUUCCUUCCAGAACGAGAAUUAAAGACAUUUCCACGAGUUUAGCAGGACGCCUGGCAUGCAAUAAGCCCUCAGUUAAUGUUAGGUGUGAUUUUCAUCAACAGCAUUAUUAUUGAAUAUUACACAGAAUACUAUUACUGGGACUGUCUCAGCAGCGGAAAUGGCAGGGAAGGGGGAGAAAUGGACUGAUACAGCUGAAACAAAAUCUCGAUGACUCAGACCUAAGCGAGCCUGUAAAAGGCAUGUCCCAGUAGAGACAAAGAUAUAGAGAUCCACUGGAUGGACACCAAGUGGGGAGAGGAGGAUUGGGAGGAGUUGGGAGCUUGGGACCGACAUACAUUUUUAUAUUCACUACUGAUACCGUGUACAGUACAGGUAACAAACGUAUGGCGCAGGGAGCUCUUCAGCGCUCUGCUGAAGACCCGAAUGGGAAGGAAAUCCAGAAAGGAGGGGAUGGGGGCUUCCCGGUGGUCCAGUGGGGUUAAGACUUUGCCUUCCAAUGCAGGGUUGCAGGUCUGAUCGCCGGUCAGGGAGCCAAGAUCCCACACGCCUCGUGGCCAAAAUAACAGAUCAUAAAAUAGAAACAAUAUUGUAACGGAUUCAAUAAGAGACUUUAAACAUGGCCCAUGUCAAAAAAAUCUUUAAAAAAGAGGAGGAUAUAUAUACACACACACACGCACAUAUAUACACACACACAUACGUGGGCUGUUUCACUUUGCUGUAGGUAGAAACCAACACAACAUUGUAAAGCAAAUACACUCCAAUAAAAAUUCAUUUUAAAAAAUGAGAUGAAAAAGAAUGCAAGAAAAAAAAAUAAAUAAAAUCAGCGUUUCAUUAAAAAAGGAAAAAAAAAAGCACCUCCCACAGUAGAACUGAGACAUUGCAUGGUUACCAUCCAUCUCUUUCUCCCUACAACAGGGAUGGUGACCCGCAUGGCCUUCACUGCAGGAAAGCGGACGGUGAGGACCCAUGGGCUGGGGCGCUGGAGGGAAGGGCCCAGAGCGCGGCCACGUUUGGCCGUGACCACACGGAUGGCUCCCCUCCACUCCGACGUGACCCGUCCAUUUGACAGGCUCACUCUGCGGCUCCCCAUCCAAUUGCAGGCCUAAUAUUUACCCAGAGAAGGCAGUAUUUGUGUGCGUUGCCAUCAACAAUCCAGUAAGUAUGGAGACAGAACAGAGGCUGCUCGCUUAUGAGGCGUGAGGGCAAACACAGCCAGCUCUUUAAAGAGCCAUUGCUGAAAUCAAUACCCUCACCCAUCUCCAUGCAGGGGCCCUGGGCCAACCGAGAAACUUCAUUAUGUGCCAUCGUUACAUCCCUCAGAGAAGCUUAAAAAGAAAAGUUCGCUGUUUCCAAGUUUGUUCUCCUCCAUUUGCCAAACAGAUGGUU